Long non-coding RNA from Homo sapiens (human), 555 nucleotides. Lineage: Eukaryota; Metazoa; Chordata; Mammalia; Primates; Hominidae. The record is from Ensembl.
ACUACUUGUCAGGCACUGGCCAAGACACUGAGGGUAUGGAGCUUGUUACACAGAUCCACGCGUGGGUUAUCGACAUUCUCUUCUACCGUUCCCGGGCUUUGCUCUGGAGAAGAGAGGCCUCUGCUGAGAUCCAGUGGUAUCUGACCAGUGUGUGGUGGUGGAGACGCAGCGGGACUCUGGGUGGUGGUGGUGGGACUGCUGGAAGUUGUCAGGUCCAAUGCUCCUAUCUUUGAGUUCAAGGGAGAAGUCAAAGACAGCUUUCUGGCCCUCACUGGGGAAGAUGUUCUGGACACAGCCAGUGGUGGCGGGGAAGAGAAUUUGCGACACAGACGUGGGGAUUUGCCAUCCACCAAAUGUUCACCUCUGUUGUUCUGGCUGGUAGCAAAAAACAAUUCCAAUGACCUAAAAAUGAGAGCAAAAGUGGCUAAGAGAUUGUAGCCAAGUGAAAUGAAUUCCCAGAUGUCAUUCAAGAACAUGUUCCCUUCAUUUAUAGGUCACAAUCUCAUUGCACUUCUAUUGCUGGACUUCCGUUAAUCUAAAUGCUACAUGUAUACC